RNAcentral lists this ribosomal RNA (324 nucleotides) under uncultured bacterium. Its description in RNAcentral is "bacterial SSU rRNA". It matches the Rfam family "Bacterial small subunit ribosomal RNA", at positions 340 to 681 of the family's 1533-position model. The record is from RNAcentral.
UACGGGAGGCAGCAGUGGGGAAUAUUGCACAAUGGGGGAAACCCUGAUGCAGCGACGCCGCGUGAAGGAAGAAGUAUUUCGGUAUGUAAACUUCUAUCAGCAGGGAAGAAAAUGACGGUACCUGACUAAGAAGCCCCGGCUAACUACGUGCCAGCAGCCGCGGUAAUACGUAGGGGGCAAGCGUUAUCCGGAUUUACUGGGUGUAAAGGGAGCGUAGGCGGUCUGACAAGUCAGAAGUGAAAGCCCGGGGCUCAACUCCGGGACUGCUUUUGAAACUGCCGGACUAGAUUGCAGGAGAGGUAAGUGGAAUUCCUAGUGUAGCGG